AAAAAAAACAAACUCUGGUUCCCAUGUCUAACGUUUGACCGUCCGUCUUAUUUGAAAAAAUUAUGAAAAAAAUUAAAAAGACAAGUCACGCAUAAAAUAUUAAUCAUGUUUUAUUAUCUAACAAUAAUGAAAAUACGAAUUAUAAAAAAAUUUCAUAUAAGACGGACCGUUAAAGUUGGACACGAAAAUUCAGGGUUUGCCUUUUU
RNAcentral lists this microRNA precursor (206 nucleotides) under Oryza sativa Indica Group (long-grained rice). RNAcentral describes it as "MIR812 microRNA precursor family". It matches the Rfam family "MIR812 microRNA precursor family". The record is from Rfam by way of RNAcentral. Lineage: Eukaryota; Viridiplantae; Streptophyta; Magnoliopsida; Poales; Poaceae.